AGUGAACGCUGGCGGUAGGCCUAACACAUGCAAGUCGAACGGCAGCACAGUAAGAGCUUGCUCUUACGGGUGGCGAGUGGCGGACGAGUGAGGAAUACAUCGGAAUCUACUUUUUCGUGGGGGAUAACGUAGGGAAACUUACGCUAAUACCGCAUACGACCUACGGGUGAAAGCAGGGGAUCUUCGGACCUUGCGCGAUUGAAUGAGCCGAUGUCGGAUUAGCUAGUUGGGGGUAAAGGCCCACCAAGGCGACGAUCCGUAGCUGGUCUGAGAGGAUGAUCAGCCACACUGGAACUGAGACACGGUCCAGACUCCUACGGGAGGCAGCAGUGGGGAAUAUUGGACAAUGGGCGCAAGCCUGAUCCAGCCAUACCGCGUGGGUGAAGAAGGCCUUCGGGUUGUAAAGCCCUUUUGUUGGGAAAGAAAAGCAGCAGGUUAAUACCCCGCUGUUCUGACGGUACCCAAAGAAUAAGCACCGGCUAACUUCGUG
Molecule: ribosomal RNA, 490 nt
Filed under: uncultured bacterium
Lineage: Bacteria
Description: partial 16S ribosomal RNA
Rfam family: Bacterial small subunit ribosomal RNA
Source: RNAcentral